Molecule: unclassified non-coding RNA, 212 nt
Filed under: Hevea brasiliensis (rubber tree)
Lineage: Eukaryota; Viridiplantae; Streptophyta; Magnoliopsida; Malpighiales; Euphorbiaceae
Source: RNAcentral
GUUCAAAGCAAAGAUCUCAUGACAAAGUGCUCCAUGGAAUCACAAGGAUAUGAACCAUAAUUUUAUUUAAAUGAAUUAGGUUCCUUGUCAUAAUACUGAAGCAUGAACCAGCAAAUCCACACUAUUUUCCCUUUCGCAUAAACAAAAUGCAACUAAUACUAAUUUUAAAACAAACAAAACCAUAGAAUCAUUAAGCCUUGACUAGAAUUUAG